This 335-nucleotide unclassified non-coding RNA is filed under the name uncultured fungus. RNAcentral describes it as "partial contains 5.8S ribosomal RNA and internal transcribed spacer 2". The stretch from base 1 to 133 matches the Rfam family "5.8S ribosomal RNA", at positions 22 to 154 of the family's 154-position model. Lineage: Eukaryota; Fungi. The record is from RNAcentral.
UGGUUCGGGCAUCGAUGAAGAACGCAGCGAAAUGCGAUAAGUAAUGUGAAUUGCAGAACUCAGUGAAUCAUCGAAUCUUUGAACGCACAUUGCGCCCAUCAGUACUCUGGUGGGCAUGCCUGUUCGAGCGUCAUUUCAACCCUCAGGCCCUGUUAAGCCUGGCGUUGGGGCUCUUUGCGGCGCCUCGGCGCCCGCAAGCCCCCAAGAUCAGUGGCGGACUCCGCCGUGCACCUCAGCGCAGUACAUACUAUCGCUCGGGAUCACGGCGGGCCUCUCGCCGCAAAACUCACCACAUUUACAAGGUUGACCUCGGAUCAGGUAGGAAUACCCGCUGA